CCUACGGGAGGCAGCAGUGGGGAAUCUUGCGCAAUGGGCGAAAGCCUGACGCAGCCAUGCCGCGUGAAUGAUGAAGGUCUUAGGAUUGUAAAAUUCUUUCAGUAGGGACGAUAAUGACGGUACCUACAGAAGAAGCCCCGGCUAACUUCGUGCCAGCAGCCGCGGUAAUACGAAGGGGGCUAGCGUUGCUCGGAAUUACUGGGCGUAAAGGGAGCGUAGGCGGGUUAUCAAGUUGGAGGUGAAAGCCCAGGGCUCAACCUUGGAAUUGCCUUCAAAACUGAUAGCCUAGAGUAUGAUAGAGGUAUGUGGAACUCCGAGUGUAGAGGUGAAAUUCGUAGAUAUUCGGAAGAACACCAGUGGCGAAGGCGACAUACUGGGUCAUGACUGACGCUGAGGCUCGAAAGCGUGGGGAGCAAACAGGAUUAGAUACCCUGGUAGUCCACGCUGUAAACGAUGAUUGCUAGUUGUCGGACGGCAUGCCGUUCGGUGACGCNGCUACGACAUAAGACAUCCGCCGUCGGGAGGUACGGUCGCGAGAGUUAAACUACGAAGAAGUAGACGGCGUGAGACGUGCCGACGGACGACGACGAGGGAGGAGG
Molecule: ribosomal RNA, 599 nt
Filed under: uncultured bacterium
Lineage: Bacteria
Description: bacterial SSU rRNA
Rfam family: Bacterial small subunit ribosomal RNA (bases 1-516)
Source: RNAcentral